AGCGCAGGCGGGCUGUCAGGUCUUGCUUAAAAGUGCGGAGCUCAACUCCGUGAUGGGCAAGAAACCGGCAGUCUUGAGUAUCGGAGAGGAAAGCGGAAUUCCUAGUGUAGCGGUGAAAUGCGUAGAUAUUAGGAGGAACACCAGUGACGAAGGCGGCUUUCUGGACGAAAACUGACGCUGAGGCUCGAAAGCGUGGGGAGCGAACA
This 206-nucleotide ribosomal RNA is filed under the name uncultured bacterium. RNAcentral's name for it is "partial 16S ribosomal RNA". It matches the Rfam family "Bacterial small subunit ribosomal RNA", at positions 568 to 774 of the family's 1533-position model. The record is from RNAcentral.